This 72-nucleotide transfer RNA is filed under the name Bos taurus (domestic cattle). It matches the Rfam family "tRNA". Rfam says of the family: Transfer RNA (tRNA) molecules are approximately 80 nucleotides in length. Their secondary structure includes four short double-helical elements and three loops (D, anti-codon, and T loops). Further hydrogen bonds mediate the characteristic L-shaped molecular structure. tRNAs have two regions of fundamental functional importance: the anti-codon, which is responsible for specific mRNA codon recognition, and the 3' end, to which the tRNAs corresponding amino acid is attached (by aminoacyl-tRNA synthetases). tRNAs cope with the degeneracy of the genetic code in two manners: having more than one tRNA (with a specific anti-codon) for a particular amino acid; and 'wobble' base-pairing, i.e. permitting non-standard base-pairing at the 3rd anti-codon position. RNAcentral also lists the same sequence under 3 other names. Lineage: Eukaryota; Metazoa; Chordata; Mammalia; Artiodactyla; Bovidae. The record is from Rfam by way of RNAcentral.
UCCCUGGUGGCUCAGAGGUUAAAGCAUUUGCCUGCAAUGCUGGAGACCCAGGUUCGAUCCAUGGGUUGGGAA